Molecule: transfer RNA, 69 nt
Filed under: Salmonella enterica
Lineage: Bacteria; Pseudomonadati; Pseudomonadota; Gammaproteobacteria; Enterobacterales; Enterobacteriaceae
Also listed under: 1 other name
Description: tRNA-Thr
Rfam family: tRNA
About the family: Transfer RNA (tRNA) molecules are approximately 80 nucleotides in length.
Source: RNAcentral
GCUGGUUUAGCUCCAAUGGUAGAGCAGUCGCCUUGUAAGCGAACAGGUAGCGGUCGUUAACCAGCACCA